Molecule: ribosomal RNA, 503 nt
Filed under: uncultured bacterium
Lineage: Bacteria
Description: partial 16S ribosomal RNA
Rfam family: Bacterial small subunit ribosomal RNA
Source: RNAcentral
AUUGAACGCUGGCGGCAGGCUUAACACAUGCAAGUCGAGCGGGGUGAUGGUGCUUGCACUAUCACUUAGCGGCGGACGGGUGAGUAAUGCUUAGGAAUCUGCCUCUUCGUGGGGGACAACAUCUCGAAAGGGAUGCUAAUACCGCAUCCGUCCUACGGGAGAAAUCAGGGGAUCACUUGUGACCUUGCGCUAAUAGAUUAGCCUAUGUCGGAUUAGCUAGUUGGUGGGGUAAAGGCCUACCAAGGCGACGAUCUGUAGCGGGUCUGAGAGGAUGAUCCGCCACACUGGGACGGAGACACGGCCCAGACUCCUACGGGAGGCAGCAGUGGGGAAUAUUGGACAAUGGGGGGAACCCUGAUCCAGCCAUGCCGCGUGUGUGAAGAAGGCCUUAUGGUUGUAAAGCACUUUAAGCGAGGAGGAGGCUCUUUUGGUUAAUACCCAAGAUGAGUGGACGUUACUCGCAGAAUAAGCACCGGCUAACUCUGUGCCAGCCGCCGCGGUAA